GUCAAUAUAAGAUUGGGUUAACAAGAUGAGUCAUUACAAGUGUCAAAACCAUAACAACCACAGUACAAGUAAUUCAUAAAUCAGUUAAUGUGUAAAAAAAAAUUUCCCGUUCUUCGUCUUACAUGUGCGUUGUGAUGAUGACCCGUAAGUGUGAAAAACUAUACCAUCACAAGCAUGGCAAUUGAAAACUAGCAGUUUGAUUGAGCAAUUUUCUGUUGCAAGUAUGGAUAUUUCCUUAAUUGUACACAUGAUUAAAGAGUGUUUAAGAUCGUACUAAGUAUGGGAAAAUGGAGGAUAAAGGUACACUUCAUUUAUUCAACCAUCACAUCAAUUGCUUUUCAAAUUUACAAAGAGAUUGGACUUGGUGGUUGGGUAGAUGAAAACCAUAAUUGCUUCUCCUUCAAGUAGCUUAUAAAUACUGUGGGAGUUCAUUCUCACUUACAAACAAGCUACUUGAAAAGCAUUGUGAGACAUUCAACUUUUCACAGACACUUAUCGUUCCAUCAAUACUAAAAUACGUUCACGUAAUGAGUUCUUCCACAUGAAGCACCGAACCGUUGAACAUCAAUGAGCCACUGCCAGUUCUCGGUUCAUCUCCGUUAUUUCCAAUCUACAUUUCGUUAGAUGAUGAGGAAGUUAACCCUCGUAUUAGUAGGAGAGUCAUUUCCCCUGGUCCUUUUCCCAACUUAGAAGAUGUUUCCAACGACGGUGCGCAAUCACCGAACGGUGUGCUCGAUAAGGUGUUCGAGCUCGACGUCGGAUACGAGGAGGAUUUGUACGACGACGACUGGAUGGCGUACGAGGCAUCAAACAAGGUAAUUAUCAUCUCGUCGGACGAGUCAGGUGAGGAAGCGGGGAAGAUGGUUCAGUUGUUGUCGACGACGACUGAAGUGACACCCAUGAAAUGUAGUGAAUAAGUAUUGUAUAGUUAGGUAUUUUGUAGGGAUGACUUUGGUUAAGACAAAACCAAAAAGUCUACGUAAACAUGUCCCUAAGACGUAAUUCGAGUAGUGAAUUUUGCGUGUUCCGAUCCAACUAUCGAGAAUUAUGAGACUAUCUGUCGGAAACAAUAUAUUAACUGUCGGGCAUUAAGGAUCAUAUGUUUGUAAAUUGAUCUGUAUUUUGCAGUAUGUUGAACGGGUGUUAUGAAAUGGUGUUUAUCAUACACUAACUUUAGUCCACGAUUUACGAUGAUGCAAAUGAUAGUAAAUAUCUUGGGGAUUGAAGAUUGCGUUUUUAGAUGGAAAAUAAAAAAACAUGUACAGUGUCCAACCGGUUCCGUUAUGUUGUUUUGUGUUCCCAACAUGUACAGAUUACAAGAUCUGUGAAGCAGACCGUGAGUGCAGUGCAAGGUUUCAUCAAUUGUCGAGAAUAAGUAACACAUCUGUCGGGACCAACAUUUUAACAGGGCGGGAUGUUCAGUAGGUGCUGAACAGAGUCUGAAAUUUGCAUGUGCACAAAAGGCUGUGCAACAUGCAAGAACAAUAAUUAUCAUAAACUUUAAAACAUAACUUCAAAAUGUUUGAUGUAGUACGGAAUAAUGAACAUACAACGUCUAUUACACCACAAAUCUCUAAGGAACAUGUGAUACAUGGGGGUUUGAACACAUGGUCCGGUUAUGACCAACUCCACCACAGCGAGUACAUUUUCUGUUAGACCAUGCAUACUUCUACCUAGAACGCUUACGUCGGGUUGGUGGUCUACCUGGAAGACGACGUACGAGUGGUGACAAAAUAGGAGUACAUGUAAUUAAGUUCGGAACAACCCAAUUCACUUCCCUAGGAACAGGAUAUAUAGCUUCGUUGUAAACACCCCUCCAGUAUUCCGAUGUGUAAUAAGGGGAGCAAAGCUCGUACAUAGACUUUCCUCUAAAGCAAGCGGCACGACUUGCAUGAACACAUGGCAUAUGAUUUAGUUGGAAGUCACGACAUGUGCAGGUAUCUUCGGACAAGUCAACUAUGUCCGUGUCGUUGGAUAUUCCAACCUGCGUUAAGUUGUUUGUUAGGACAUGGGCUCAAAGCCUAGUUCCAUUUUCGAACGUCGUCCGUAACUCGUUCUCCAUCCUCGGCGUCAAUAAGGUACUGCAUUCUUCUGCAUUUGUUCAACGUUCGUAAAACCACUUCUGCAUAGUACUCCAAAUGUGUUCAACCAAGCAGGUUAUCGACAACGAUCGGGCUUCUCUCAACAUCGAGUUCAAGGACUCUUUGUUGUUGUUUGUCAUGAUGUUGUAACGGUGUCCAAUAAAUAGUGCUUUGGACCAAAAUGAAUAACCUGCUCGCUCUAAGUACCCGUGCGCUCUUUCGCUCACUCUACGAAUCUGUCCCAUGAGUCGUUCGAAGUCCUCGACCCGAAAAGUUGUAACAACUCGUUUGAAUAGAAAUAUUAGGCUUGCAUUGUUGUACCGCUCGUAUUAGGUUCUUUUCCAUAUGUCAUAUACAACAACUAUGGUGAGACAAUGGAAACAACUGAGUAAUAGCUUUCUUAAUAAUCUUUUUCCUGUCCGAAACUAACACGAGUUCUUCGGCGUCCCCUAUAAGGUCUUUCAAGUUUGACAUAAACCACUUUCAGGAUUUAUUGGUUUCAGCAUCCACGAUCCCCCAUGCCAAUGGAUAAAUCUGUUUGUUACCAUCUUAGGCAGUUGCCAAUAGGAGUGUACCUUUGUAUGGACCCUUCAAGUGACUGCUAUCAACACAAAUAACGGGUCUCAAGUACUGUAUGUAACCACGAAUGCUUGCACUAAAAGCUACGAAGAAGUAAUGAAACCUAUGAAGAGAAUCAACUUCAAUGUGGGUUACGGUCCCCAGGUUACUCUCUCCUACGACGUGACAGUACGAAGAUAAUUUCUGAGAAUUCUCCCCUGGUGUACCAUGUAGCAUAUUUAAGGCAUGGAGCUUCCCCCUACGUGCUUUGCUAUAACUGGUUUUCACACCAAACUCACGUUCCAUAUCACAUGCAAUAUCAGUAGGAUGAUACGAUCGGUAUGGAGUAUCCAAUUUUCCCAAAAUGUGCUCCAUAAUUACAGAACUAGUGGCAUGCCGACGUGCGUUACGACGAAAAUCAAGGGAACAUGUGUGAAUUGUAAUGAAUUUACGGAUCAUGAAGAUUGCAGAUUGCUUGACAGUAGAAGCACGUAGCAUCCACUUGCAAUUAUCGUCCACACAGACAAUUGUUGACAUUUUCAAGCUUGACCUACUUACCCAAAAUUGGAAAUUCUCUUGCAAAGCAAGUACACGAGGCUUCGAGUACAACUGUUUCUUGCUAAAUAAUAUUUGCUUCUCGACGAGAACGGAUGUAUUUGCAGCUGUAAUCCACCCAUCUAUGCACGAAGUUCUAGAAUUUGAUGACAUUGUCUCGUCAAUUUCAG
Molecule: long non-coding RNA, 3364 nt
Filed under: Olea europaea subsp. europaea
Lineage: Eukaryota; Viridiplantae; Streptophyta; Magnoliopsida; Lamiales; Oleaceae
Source: RNAcentral